RNAcentral lists this ribosomal RNA (458 nucleotides) under uncultured Leptolinea sp. Its description in RNAcentral is "bacterial SSU rRNA". It matches the Rfam family "Bacterial small subunit ribosomal RNA", at positions 916 to 1381 of the family's 1533-position model. The record is from RNAcentral. Lineage: Bacteria; Bacillati; Chloroflexota; Anaerolineae; Anaerolineales; Anaerolineaceae.
GACGGGCCCCGCACAAGCAGACGGAGCGUGUGGUUUAAUUCGAUGCUAACACGAAGAACCUUUACCAGGGUUUGACAUGCUAGUGGUGGAAACCGAAAGGUGACCGACCCUUCGGGGAGCUAGCACAGGUGCUGCACGGCUGUCGUCAGCUCGUGUCGUGAGAUGUUCGGUUAAGUCCGCUAACGAGCGCAACCCUCGCUGUGUGUUAUAUGUGUCACAUGGGACUGCCGGCCUUAAGCCGGAGGAAGGUGGGGAUGAUGUCAAGUCAGCAUGGCCUUUAUGUCCUGGGCUACACACACGCUACAAUGGUCAGCACAAUGGGUCGCUAAGCCGCAAGGUGGAGCCAAUCCUCAAAGUUGGCCUCAGUUCAGAUUGUAGGCUGCAACUCGCCUGCAUGAAGAUGGAGUUGCUAGUAAACGCAGGUCAGCUAUACUGCGUUGAAUACGUUCCCGGGGCUU